Molecule: long non-coding RNA, 1425 nt
Organism: Lolium perenne
Lineage: Eukaryota; Viridiplantae; Streptophyta; Magnoliopsida; Poales; Poaceae
Source: RefSeq, a predicted model, not a curated record
AGAUAUAGGGCGGGUAGUGGAGGUGCUCUGUCGCCUCCUCUCUUCUCCGAUGAGAAAAACCAAAAGUGAGAGGGAGAGGGGAAAAAGAUAGUCGUUACUUGCUCGCUACCCCGUCUCGCAGCCGCGGCGCAUGCAAGCAAAUCUCGUGGACGGGGCUUUGGGGGCGCUCGAUCCGCGGAGGAAACCCUAGGUUGGUGCAUUCGGGAGCUGCGUGUCGAGAUGCAGAACGCCGAGACGCUCUCCCUCACGUCACCGCGCUCGCCCACGGGGGGCACCACCUCCGCGCCGCUGCAGCAGUACGACCAGCAGCAGCAGGAACGGCGGGCCGCGGCCGCCAACUCGAGGGCAGGCGGCGGUGGAGCUCCGGUGAGGCAAUACUGCGGCGGCAUUCCGGGAAGGCCGUCAAGCUUAACGAAGGAAUUGAAAUCCAGGAAGUCUUACAUGCUAGCAAUUUGGUUUUAGCUGGCUAUCUCAAAUGAUGGGAUGCGGAAAGAAGAAGAUUAAAGAGGAAAACAAAAGAUGAAGAGGAGCAGAUAUAUACCUGUAGGAAGUUGGUGACACUGUUCAACAGUGUGGGCAGCGCCCGGCUGGCAACGACAGCAUCGACCUCAAUGGAGAGAUCCUGGUACCUGACCUCGAUGGCUGGGAGCUCGAUGCCAACCGCAUCCACCCGCUCCCUGAGCGUCCUGAGGAACUGCUCGCUGUCAUCCUGAAAGACGCGCUCCAGCAGGGCGCGGCCAGCUUCCCCGCUGGCGAGGUGCUGGAUGUCCACCAGGCCCGUGCCUUCCUCAUUGUGGGUGUGGAGCUCAUGGUCGUGGUCGUCACGGAGGACAGCCCGGCGCAUGCGGUCAUAGGUGGGAAGCUUCUCGAGGGCCGCCCAGCGGAGGUUCUCCUCGUCGUCCUGGUCAUGCCGGGAUGCGGCGCGCUGGAAGGGGUCAUCCGUGUCCGGCUGCCGGAGCGAGCGUGCGAUGGAUGAGCUCCAGCUCGUGUUGCUGCGGCGGCUGCCGGACAGUGCCCCCGGCAAGCCCCCUAACCCGACGCUUGCCAUGUCUACCUUUCCUCUAGUGCUAGCGAGCUAGGUGUUCAAGAGAAGCAGCUGGGAUUGAUGUCAGCUGGGAUUGUUGUUGCAUGUGCAAACGUUAGAUAUGGUUGUGCAUGUUAAAACGAUGGAUCUCCUGGCUUUGCUUUAUACUCUGCUUCCACUGAUCUUCUAGAUGGCCUGAAUAAACUCAGGGUCGUCAACGGUCGUCCCUCUUGCCGUGGAGGUCCGUUACUCCGAUCGACUAGUCAAGCCCGCCCCGUGCUUCACCUUACUGUUAGCCAAUUAGGCAAGUCAGACUUGUAGGCUGCAUGCUAUGUUUUCUCGGAAUCUUCCAAAUGUAGUAUAACUAUUUUCUCCGUUUAAAAUUGUUCCUUGCCCUCGCU